Molecule: non-coding RNA, 783 nt
Filed under: Latridiidae sp. 1 KM-2017
Lineage: Eukaryota; Metazoa; Arthropoda; Insecta; Coleoptera; Latridiidae
Source: RNAcentral
AAAAAGUUUUAUUUUAGCUUAUAAUUUUUAGUUAUAAUUAAUUUUACAUGUAUAUAUUAGUAUUCAAAGAUUUUAAUUUAAAUAAUAAUUAUCCAUUAGUUAUGCAGUUUAAAAUUUUAUAUAUUAAGUUAUUUUAGAUUUAGUAAAUUAUUAUAGUAUUAACAAAAUUUGUGCCAGCAGUUGCGGUUAUACAAAUAAUGCAAUAAAAAUUUCUUGGAAUUAGUUAAUUUAAAUAAAUUAUAAUAUUAAAAUAAAAAAAUUUUAAAGUGAAAUUUGAAUUUUUUAUUAAUAUAUAUUUAUAUUGAUGAAGCUUAGAAAUUUAAAAUUAAACUAGGAUUAGAUACCCUAUUAUUAUAUCUGUAAUUUAUUUUCUUAUUGAUUAAUAGAUAUGAUCUUUAAAAUUAAAAAUUUUGGCGGUAUUUUAGUCUUUUCAGAGGAACCUGUUCUAUAAUCGAUAAUCCACGAUUUAAUAUACUUAAUUUAAUUAAUUUAUAUAUCAUCGUAGUUGAAUAUUUUAUAAGAAUAUAAUAUUCAAAAAUUUAAAUUAAAAAGUAAAUCAGAUCAAGAUAUAGUUUAUAAUUAAGAAGAAAUGGGUUACAAUAAAAAUAUUUAUACAGUUUUAAUAAUUUAAAUUAUUAAAUAAGGUGGAUUUGAAAGUAAUAAAUUAAAAUUAUUUUUUAUGAUUUUAGCUCUAAAAUAUGCACAUAUCGCCCGUCGCUUUCAUUAUUAAAAUGAAAUAAGUCGUAACAAAGUAAAUAUACUGGAAAGUGUAUUUAGAAGGUA